UACGUAGGGUGCAAGCGUUAAUCGGAAUUCCUGGGCGUAAAGCGUGCGCAGGCGGUGAUGUAAGACAGAUGUGAAAGCCCCGGGCUCAACCCGGGAAGUGCACUCGAUACUGCAGAGCUUGAGUGUCGGAGAGGUUGGUGGAAUUCUCGGUGUAGAGGUGAAAUUCGUAGAUAUCGAGAGGAACACCGGCGGCGAAGGCGGCCAACUGGACGACUACUGACGCUGAGACACGAAAGCGUGGGGAGCAAACAGG
RNAcentral lists this ribosomal RNA (253 nucleotides) under uncultured bacterium. Its description in RNAcentral is "partial 16S ribosomal RNA". It matches the Rfam family "Bacterial small subunit ribosomal RNA", at positions 524 to 776 of the family's 1533-position model. The record is from RNAcentral.